Molecule: long non-coding RNA, 337 nt
Filed under: Mytilus galloprovincialis (Mediterranean mussel)
Lineage: Eukaryota; Metazoa; Mollusca; Bivalvia; Mytilida; Mytilidae
Source: RNAcentral
AAAAUUGCGCAUUUUACGAGGGAACUAUUGAACUAAAUUGCAAAAAUGUAUUUUUUAGGCUUGUGUCUUUAUAUUUCAUAAAAACUGUGUUCCUGUUAGUUCCUGAACAUGGGAAUAGCAUCUUUUUGAGCUUCUGAAAUACACCUUUUCUUUGAUAUGCUUCAGUAAGGUGUCGAACUGCGUCGAAUUUGGAAAACUGUGAUAUUAUUUGUAUGGUUAAACCAGUGACCAUAUUAUGUUUAUACCAUUAUGACAUGUAUAUGGUUAAACCACUAUGGUAUUGCAUGUAUUGUUAAACUUCUACGACCACUAAUGUAUGGUUUUACCACUAGCUGUG